Molecule: ribosomal RNA, 342 nt
Filed under: Triticum aestivum (bread wheat)
Lineage: Eukaryota; Viridiplantae; Streptophyta; Magnoliopsida; Poales; Poaceae
Description: partial small subunit ribosomal RNA
Source: RNAcentral
AUGACAAGUGUGGUCACCACUACGCGAUUUGCCUUGACCCGAAGAAUCAAUGAUUUGAGGUGCUCGAUUCAAUGCGUUCAGAAGCUGAUACAGACCUUACUACACAUGCUGAAUUCUUCAUCAACAACCUCAAAGAGACAUGGACCCGUCACUACGAAAACUCAAGGAUCAAUAUCAAUCAUUUUCCAAUCGAGUAUGUCGCGACUACGAAGCAAGGAAACCGGCAUGACUGCGGGUUUCACAUGUUGGAAUACCUUGCUAAGUGGGAAGGCCGACGGGUCCCUGUCGUCACAACUGCAAUGGUCGUGGAGCUUCACAAAAUAUAUACAUGAAACUGGUUGA